This 269-nucleotide ribosomal RNA is filed under the name Paenibacillus sp. E194. Its description in RNAcentral is "partial 16S ribosomal RNA". It matches the Rfam family "Bacterial small subunit ribosomal RNA", at positions 1 to 255 of the family's 1533-position model. The record is from RNAcentral. Lineage: Bacteria; Bacillati; Bacillota; Bacilli; Caryophanales; Paenibacillaceae.
UUUAACGGAGAGUUUGAUCCUGGCUCAGGACGAACGCUGGCGGCGUGCCUAAUACAUGCAAGUCGAGCGGACUCUCAGGAGUGCUUGCACUCCUGAGAGUUAGCGGCGGACGGGUGAGUAACACGUAGGUAACCUGCCCAUAAGACUGGGAUAACCCACGGAAACGUGAGCUAAUACCAGAUAGGCAUUUUCCUCGCAUGAGGGAGAUGAGAAAGGCGGAGCAAUCUGCCACUUAUGGAUGGACCUGCGGCGCAUUAGCUAGUUGGUAG